This 448-nucleotide ribosomal RNA is filed under the name uncultured bacterium. Its description in RNAcentral is "bacterial SSU rRNA". It matches the Rfam family "Bacterial small subunit ribosomal RNA", at positions 329 to 794 of the family's 1533-position model. The record is from RNAcentral.
GGCCAGACUCCUACGGGAGGGAGCAGUGGGGAAUAUUGCACAAUGGGGGGAACCCUGAUGCAGCGACGCCGCGUGGGUGAAGGAGCACCUCGGUGCGUAAAGCCCUCUCGGCAGGGAAGAAACAGACGGUACCUGACUAAGAAGCCCCGGCUAACUACGUGCCAGCAGCCGCGGUAAUACGUAGGGGGCAAGCGUUAUCCGGAUUCACUGGGUGUAAAGGGAGCGUAGACGGCGACGCAAGUCUGGAGUGAAAGCCCGGGGCUCAACCCUGGGACUGCUCUGGAAACUGUAAAGCUGGAGUGCGGGAGGGGCAGGCGGAAUUCCUGGUGUAGCGGUGAAAUGCGUAGAUAUCAGGAGGAACACCGGCGGCGAAGGCGGCCUGCUGGACCGUAACUGACGUUGAGGCUCGAAAGCGUGGGGAGCAAACAGGAUUAGAUACCCCAGUAUC